GGCCCCGUAGCUCAGUUGGAUAGAGCAUCAGAUUCCUAAUCUGAGGGUCGCAGGUUCGAAUCCUGCCGGGGUCACCA
This 77-nucleotide transfer RNA is filed under the name Rhodospirillaceae bacterium. RNAcentral's name for it is "tRNA-Arg". It matches the Rfam family "tRNA". Rfam says of the family: Transfer RNA (tRNA) molecules are approximately 80 nucleotides in length. Their secondary structure includes four short double-helical elements and three loops (D, anti-codon, and T loops). The record is from RNAcentral. RNAcentral also lists the same sequence under 1 other name. Lineage: Bacteria; Pseudomonadati; Pseudomonadota; Alphaproteobacteria; Rhodospirillales; Rhodospirillaceae.